Non-coding RNA from Perkinsus olseni, 82 nucleotides. NCBI's taxonomy places the organism in Eukaryota, Perkinsozoa, Perkinsida, Perkinsidae. The record is from the annotation of a GenBank genome assembly.
GACAGCGUGUCCGAGUGGUGGAGGAGGUGGACUAGAAAUUCAUUUGUCUCCCCCCGCGCAGGUUCGCGUCCGGCCACUGUCG